UUAAAAACAGUGAUAGGGAUAAGUAAACAAAUGCAAAUGCUUUAAAGAGAGUGGGGGAAAGGUGAAAGCCCAUAAGCUAUGGUUGUUGAAAUUCACCCUUGAGUUGCAGGCUGAAAUCUAAAGAGAUUAAGCCCAGCCGGUUAAAUGCCGUUAUAUAAUGAGUUAUAAAUUUGGAUGGUACCGCGAACAGACUAUUCGCUCCAGCG
This 206-nucleotide non-coding RNA is filed under the name Andreesenella formicacetica. RNAcentral's name for it is "Clostridium formicaceticum T-box sequence". It matches the Rfam family "T-box leader". From Rfam's summary of the family: Uncharged tRNA acts as the effector for transcription antitermination of genes in the T-box leader family. The record is from RNAcentral. Lineage: Bacteria; Bacillati; Bacillota; Clostridia; Peptostreptococcales; Natronincolaceae.